UACGGAAGGCAGCAGUGGGGAAUAUUGCACAAUGGGCGCAAGCCUGAUGCAGCCAUGCCGCGUGUAUGAAGAAGGCCUUCGGGUUGUAAAGUACUUUCAGUCGUGAGGAAGGUGUUAAGGUUAAUAACCUUAGCAAUUGACGUUAGCGACAGAAGAAGCACCGGCUAACUCCGUGCCAGCAGCCGCGGUAAUACGGAGGGUGCGAGCGUUAAUCGGAAUUACUGGGCGUAAAGGGCACGCAGGCGGUUAAUUAAGUUGGAUGUGAAAUCCCCGGGCUUAACCUGGGAAUGGCAUUCAAGACUGGUUAGCUAGAGUCUUGUAGAGGGGGUAGAAUUCCAUGUGUAGCGGUGAAAUGCGUAGAGAUGUGGAGGAAUACCGGUGGCGAAGGCGGCCCCUGGGACAAAGACUGACGCUCAUGUGCGAAAGCGUGGGGAGCAAACGAGGGAUUAGAUACC
RNAcentral lists this ribosomal RNA (455 nucleotides) under uncultured bacterium. Its description in RNAcentral is "bacterial SSU rRNA". It matches the Rfam family "Bacterial small subunit ribosomal RNA", at positions 340 to 786 of the family's 1533-position model. The record is from RNAcentral.